AAGACCUUUAACAAUAGUCCUGUGAGGCUAGGAAGGCUGCGAUUAGCAAGUUUGCUUACGGUACACGUAUGCCCUUUUCCAUCAGCAGGAAAAGGGCAUUUUUAUG
This 106-nucleotide small RNA is filed under the name Oceanobacillus oncorhynchi. RNAcentral describes it as "PyrR". It matches the Rfam family "PyrR binding site". Rfam says of the family: This family represents the PyrR binding site and terminator structure. The record is from RNAcentral. Lineage: Bacteria; Bacillati; Bacillota; Bacilli; Caryophanales; Bacillaceae.